CUCUGAGGACAGGGGUGGGGUUCUCUUCACCAUCAGACUGGGAGCCCUCUGAGGUUGGAGAAACAGGUCUGUCCUGUGUCACAUUCUCUGGAGUUUGAGAACAAGGCUCUGUUGUGAGGGGACGGGAUUGGAUGGCCUCCUUGCUACCAUCUGGUCAGCAGGCAAGGACGUGGACCCUGUGCAGCCCCUCUGUGUGGCCUCAGCGUAACAGAUAAGGCAAUUGAGGCUUCCAAGAAUUUGAUUUUUGACUGUGGAACACUAGUCUGUAAGAAUGUAAUAAAGAGAGAGGCAGCAAAUCACAGCAAUGAAUAACCAUGGAACCAGACUCUGGAACCAGGCUGCCUUGGUUCAAAU
This 354-nucleotide long non-coding RNA is filed under the name Pan troglodytes (chimpanzee). RNAcentral describes it as "long non-coding RNA NONPTRT005400". The record is from RNAcentral. Lineage: Eukaryota; Metazoa; Chordata; Mammalia; Primates; Hominidae.